UACGUAGGGUGCAAGCGUUGUCCGGAAUUACUGGGCGUAAAGCGCACGUAGGCGGCUUUGUAAGUUAGAGGUGAAAAGCCCAGGGCUCAACCCUGGAAUUGCCUUUAAGACUGCAUCGCUUGAACAUCGGAGAGGUAAGUGGAAUUCCGAGUGUAGAGGUGAAAUUCGUAGAUAUUCGGAAGAACACCAGUGGCGAAGGCGACUUACUGGACGAUUGUUGACGCUGAGGUGCGAAGCGUGGGGGAGCAAACAGG
Molecule: ribosomal RNA, 254 nt
Filed under: uncultured bacterium
Lineage: Bacteria
Description: partial 16S ribosomal RNA
Rfam family: Bacterial small subunit ribosomal RNA
Source: RNAcentral